RNAcentral lists this ribosomal RNA (301 nucleotides) under uncultured bacterium. RNAcentral's name for it is "partial 16S ribosomal RNA". It matches the Rfam family "Bacterial small subunit ribosomal RNA", at positions 509 to 807 of the family's 1533-position model. The record is from RNAcentral.
CAGUAGCCGCGGGAAUACGUAGGGGGCAAGCGUUAUCCGGAUUUACUGGGUGUAAAGGGAGCGUAGACGGAAUGGCAAGUCUGAAGUGAAAUGCCCGGGCUCAACCCGGGAACUGCUUUGGAAACUGUCGAUCUGGAGUGUUGGAGAGGUAAGUGGAAUUCCUGGUGUAGCGGUGAAAUGCGUAGAGAUCAGGAAGAACACCGGAGGCGAAGGCGGCUUACUGGACAAAGACUGACGUUGAGGCUCGAAAGCGUGGGAAGCAAACAGGAUUAGAUACCCCGGUAGUCCCUGUCUCUUAUAC